RNAcentral lists this unclassified non-coding RNA (2267 nucleotides) under Acanthaster planci (crown-of-thorns starfish). RNAcentral describes it as "fatty acid hydroxylase domain-containing protein 2- like, transcript variant X2". The record is from RNAcentral. Lineage: Eukaryota; Metazoa; Echinodermata; Asteroidea; Valvatida; Acanthasteridae.
CCCAAAUACCAGUGGAAACAUUCGCACGGGACGACCUCGACGGGCCGUCGAUGGACCAGACUCCACUUCUGACAUUCGACAUAUUCGACCUAUAGUGACGGGCGCUUCGACGCUUAAAUAGGACUCUCUGCAAGUCUGCCGAGGAAAACGGGUAUGGCGGAAAACAAGGACCCCGAGAAAGGCAGCAUGGUCGGGAGCAUCAGGAUGCUGGUCGUCAUAACGACCAGCAUUCUGGUGGUAGUGGCUGCCGCCAAAAACUCCCUGACAUGGCUCCUAGAUGAGCUACUGCAAGCGAGCGGUUGCUUCUGGACCAGACAGUACGAGUGCGUCUACAACCUCUUUGGCGGAGACGAGUUCUUGAUCGCUUCUCUAGGGACACUCUUGGUGUCGAUAGUGGUUUACUGGAUUCUUGUGUCCGGACUCCUGUUUGUUGAUGCCACUGGGAAGCCAUCUUGGAUUCACAAAUACAAGAUACAACAGGACAAGAACAUACCGGUGGAUCCGGCUCUGCUCAGGCAAGCGGUGACGGGGACCCUAUUCAAUCAGUUUGUGGUUGGGCUCCCCUUUGCUCUCGGGUACGCCUGGUUGGCUGAAAUGCGCGGGUGUAGCGCCUCCACCCGCUUGCCUGACUUCCACACCGUGCUCCUGGAGAUGCUGGUGUUCUUGGCAGCGGAGGAAAUCGGUUUCUAUUACUCCCAUCGGUUGUUUCACCACGGCUUCUUUUACAAGCGAAUCCACAAGCGCCACCACGAGUACACCGCGCCGUUCGCCGUGUCCAACUUCGACGUGCACCCGGUGGAGCACGUGGUGGCCAACCUGGCCCCCAUGGCCGCUGGGCCGCUGAUCGCCGGUUCGCACGUGGCCGUCCUGUGGCUGUGGCUAGCCAUUGGGACCUUCUCCAGCCUGCUGGCCCACUCCGGCUAUCACCUGCCGUUCUUCCCGUCAACUCAGGCUCACGACUUCCACCAUCUCAAAUCUGUCAGUAACUUCGGAGCUCUGGGCAUUCUCGACCGACUGCACGGCACGGACGCUGCCUUCAGACGGUCAGAGAAUUUUCAGCGGCACGUGUUGUUGACGGGAUUGACGCCUGCGUCUCAGCUGGGCCCAGCGAAGGGCAAGUAGGCGAAACACUUCAUGCGACUCCAAUGCAAAAAUGCACGCGUCAUGCGCAGUAAUAAUGCAAAAUUUUAUGUGUGAUGCAUAACAUUCGAAUUUAGUGACUUACACUGAGGUUGUGUGUAAUGUCGCCUUUGAUAUUGCCGCAACCUAGAGAAAGCAUCUCGUUGUAGGAUCAUUUGACCAACCGAUCACGCUCUACACCGAGUCACUUGGACAGCUAUUGUAUACAAAAUAUCUGGCCCAUGAGAAUUAUUUUCUGGCACAGCUGGAACACAAUUAGAUAACGCUUCCGCCAACUAGUAAUGUCUUUUGUUGUGCAGUUUGCUUUGAUUUCCAGUCGUUUUCUGCCCUUGCAAUUGGCACAACCGCAGCUCAUGAUGAAAAAGAACGUGUAAGCGCCUCUUCACACUUUACCAUUUUCUAGAGUUUCUGUGUGCUUGCUCUAGAUUUAGUUUCCGCUGGGGUGAAAUCUCUCUUCUUCUAACCUGUUGGGUAUUACCGUAAUUUUGUGCAGACAAAAAAAUGGGUGCAAGUGUGUACGGACCUUAAAAAAGAAUGCAUGCAGGUGGCUCCAAUAUUUGUUGCCUCACGUUAUAUUAAUCGGCGUGAUGUACUCAAAGUAGACUCCACUGAAUGUACUUAAUUAAACAAGCUUUGUACAUAAUGGGCAUAAAAUGGCAUUUCGGUGUCUCUUUGGAAUACUUGUAGACAAGCUGAAUGAACUCUCGAUCGUUUCUCUUUGGUAAAUUUGUUCAUGUCUGUGCAACAGUGUGCUUCAAGGUGAUGAGGGUUUCCAUUUAUAAUUGAUAUAAAAUUUGUUUAUAUAUUAUAUAACACAUCACAAUAUAACAAUAUAUCCUACAAGAAUAUUAUCACAAAUUAAGUAAAACGUAAAUUGAUACUUUAUUCAUAGAUACUUUGUAACUGUUGGACAGUUUAACUAUUCCUAUUGGUCGACAGCCUGUCACGUGACCAGUCUUAAUGAAGAAGGUGGAAACAUGCCGCAGAAAUGCAUUUGACAACGUGGUAAGGUUUCAUGCCGAAACAGUUGGACAAAGACAGAAAGGAAAACGAAUCUUCCCAUGUUUUUGUGUUUUUUUGUAUAUUUUUUAUUUCCUCUAGACCAGCUACAUCGUCUCAGUUUUCUU